GACGUUCUACUACAGUUAGACGUCCGCCGGGUACUACGAGCAUUAGCUUGAAACCCUGAAGACCUGACGGUGCCUCAGACCCCCCUAGAGGAGCCUGUUCUAGAACCGAUAACCCCCGUUAAACCUCACCACUUCUAGCCACCCCAGCCUAUAUACCGCCGUCGUCAGCUUACCCUGUGAAGG
Molecule: ribosomal RNA, 183 nt
Filed under: Erimystax dissimilis (streamline chub)
Lineage: Eukaryota; Metazoa; Chordata; Actinopteri; Cypriniformes; Leuciscidae
Description: partial 12S ribosomal RNA
Source: RNAcentral